CUUAUGGCUAACGUAGGCGGGAGCACUGUGCCCCAGGUUUAUGUAGGACGGGGUGACGGGAAUAUACUACGGAGGUGUACUUCCUUUAAAACCAGGAGUCACGCUCCGAUUUUGUUUUGAAGACACGGACAGUAACCCGUUCGCUAGGGAGUACACCUAGGAACUGGAAUUACUCGGGGAAUUGGGAACUGGUCAGAGUAAUAGAGGUAACGGCUUGCACGUUUUAAUAAAGGGUUGAAAGAU
This is a long non-coding RNA of Photinus pyralis (common eastern firefly), 243 nucleotides long. RefSeq lists it as uncharacterized. The record is from RefSeq and is a predicted model, not a curated record. The transcript is spliced from 2 exons. NCBI's taxonomy places the organism in Eukaryota, Metazoa, Arthropoda, Insecta, Coleoptera, Lampyridae.